GAAAAGGUGGGCUGGCGGCUGCGCUGUCUGGGGUAUAGCGGCCGGACUAUUACACUGAAAGUACGCUAUGGUUCCUUUCGGACCAUUACUC
This 91-nucleotide transfer RNA is filed under the name Sporomusaceae bacterium FL31. RNAcentral's name for it is "tRNA-Pro". Lineage: Bacteria; Bacillati; Bacillota; Negativicutes; Selenomonadales; Sporomusaceae. The record is from RNAcentral.